Molecule: long non-coding RNA, 544 nt
Organism: Diorhabda carinulata
Lineage: Eukaryota; Metazoa; Arthropoda; Insecta; Coleoptera; Chrysomelidae
Exons: 2
Source: RefSeq, a predicted model, not a curated record
AAUUGAUCAGUCUAUGAGUUUGUUUACUAAAUAAAAUAUAUUUUAAAAUGUAGAUUAUGUAAAAUUAAAAUUUUUGCUACCUUCAAUAUUUUCAAUUAUCAUCAUGUACACUGAGUCUGGUGUAAGUUGCUUUAUAGAUAAAUUUGGGAUUUUUCAUAGAAUCUUACAGGAACGACAAAAUGUUUAUAGAUCUAAAACAAUUCUGAAGGCAGACCAGUAUAAAACUCAAGACAGACCGACAUGGUUAAGGAUCAUUCUUAUGUUUUGGAAUGUUAAAGUUAUGAAAGCAGCUAUUCGAUUUGGCAUUGCUGCUUUAAUAAUGAAUCAUUAUGAACGACUAGGAUUUGCAACAUUAUUGUUAUGUUUCGCUCUGUGACAUAUUUUAAAGACAUUAAUUGGUAUUAUAUAUUAUCAUAAUAUUAUUCCUUUAUUUAUUUAAACAUAUUAAAUACAAUUAUGCUAAGUAAUGAUGAUACUUUAUUGUUACAAGUUUAGAUUAUGAUAUAAUAAUGUCCACAAGAAUUAAUAGAAACAAUAACCAGAG